AACGGUAAAAGAUGAGCAUGCGUCCCAUUAGCUAGAUGGUAAGGUAACGGCUUACCAUGGCGACGAUGGGUAGGGGUCCUGAGAGGGAGAUCCCCCACACUGGUACUGAGACACGGACCAGACUCCUACGGGAGGCAGCAGUGAGGAAUAUUGGUCAAUGGGCGCAAGCCUGAACCAGCCAUGCCGCGUGCAGGAUGACGGUCCUAUGGAUUGUAAACUGCUUUUGUACAGGAAGAAACAGUUCUACGUGUAGAACCUUGACGGUACUGUAAGAAUAAGGAUCGGCUAACUCCGUGCCAGCAGCCGCGGUAAUACGGAGGAUCCAAGCGUUAUCCGGAAUCAUUGGGUUUAAAGGGUCCGUAGGCGGUUUUGCAAGCCAGUGGUGAAAGCCCAUCGCUCAACGGUGGAACGGCCAUUGAUACUGCAAGACUUGAAUUACUAGGAAGUAACUAGAAUAUGUAGUGUAGCGGUGAAAUGCUUAGAUAUUACAUGGAAUACCAAUUGCGAAGGCAGGUUACUACUAGUGGAUUGACGCUGAUGGACGAAAGCGUGGGGAGCGAACAGGAUUAGAU
RNAcentral lists this ribosomal RNA (572 nucleotides) under uncultured bacterium. RNAcentral describes it as "bacterial SSU rRNA". It matches the Rfam family "Bacterial small subunit ribosomal RNA", at positions 214 to 783 of the family's 1533-position model. The record is from RNAcentral.